UACGAAGGGGGCUAGCGUUGUUCGGAACCACUGGGCGUAAAGGGCGCGUAGGCGGCUUUGUAAGUCGGGGGUGAAAGCCUGUGGCUCAACCACAGAAUUGCCUUCGAUACUGGCGAUCUUGAGUCCGGAAGAGGUGAGUGGAACUCCUAGUGUAGAGGUGGAAUUCGUAGAUAUUAGGAAGAACACCAGUGGCGAAGGCGGCUCACUGGUCCGAUACUGACGCUGAGGAGCGAAAGCGUGGGGAGCGAACAGG
Molecule: ribosomal RNA, 253 nt
Filed under: uncultured bacterium
Lineage: Bacteria
Description: partial 16S ribosomal RNA
Rfam family: Bacterial small subunit ribosomal RNA
Source: RNAcentral